This is a long non-coding RNA of Peromyscus eremicus (cactus mouse), 1195 nucleotides long. RefSeq lists it as uncharacterized. The transcript is spliced from 4 exons. Lineage: Eukaryota; Metazoa; Chordata; Mammalia; Rodentia; Cricetidae. The record is from RefSeq and is a predicted model, not a curated record.
AACUGGUCUGACCUAUGGAGAUAAGCAGAGAGAGAUUGGGACAAGCACAUUGAGCGGGAUCACAUGAAGGACAGCUUCUCCACAUUGACCAAGGAAAAAGGAACAAGGAAAUAAUGAGUGAAAAGGAGAUCAGAAAAAUGGGGGCAGGGGGAGGAAAUUGUGACUAAAGAUGAAAGCUUUAACUACAAUGACCUAAAGAGCUCAGGAAGAACCAGACUUUCUAACAGAUUUUUAUGUUUCCUAUUUAUGUAGCUAUGAUCAAAGUAAUGUCAUAAGAUAUAAUUCAUACUUUCAGAUAUUAUUACAAAUAUAUACAUUGGGCUAUUAGUUUCAAGAUACUGAAGAUACUAAUGCCUGCAGUGGGUAAACUAGGUACCUAGUUUCCAACCUUCAGAUGUGAGGACAGAAAACAGGAAAGCAAAGUGGGACCAUUGCCAGGAUGGAAUAUUUAGAUGAAGUUCUUCAAGUGAACAAAGUUCUCAUAAUAGUGAACAGAAUCUGAAAAAUCAGUUUUUCUGACAAUCUGCAUAGGACCUAAUUUAACUCUGCAGUUACGAAGAACAAAGCACAUAAACAAGGAAACUUUAAGGAAAUUUUCAUUUCUAAAAAAACAGCAAAGACAUUACACAAAAAGAACUGCACUGACUGACAGAUAUUCACAAACUCCUAACAAAAGUCGACAGUUUCCUGCCAACGAAACAUGCCAGGGGCCUCAGGAUGUGGAUAAUAAGAAAGGUUUGAAGAGCCAAGGACACCAAGCAACGCUUAAGUUCCAGACAUUUCACAAGAUAAAAGAGCAAAUGCAAUCCAUAGUCUCCGAUAACCAGCUCUGGGAAGAAGGGUAAAAGUGAUGAUGUAAACAAGAGAUUCAGCUGAAAAUCAUACAAUGGGAGACUGUAACAGCAUGGCCUGACCAGAUUUAUUGGUUUGAGAAAAGCCUCUUUGAACAAAUGUCUGCUAAGCUGAGGCCUAAAGAAUGUCUCAGAGGAAACCAGGACAGAGUGACCGGAAAACAUCUCUGAGAGGAACAAAAUGUGUGAAAGGAAGAGGUUGGCAUGACUCUGAAAAUGUCUCUUUUAAAAAAAUGGUUCAUCUAGAAUUUGAAAUCACAACAAAAAAAAGUUGUAUUUGCAACAUAGAUGGACCUUGAAGAAAUGCUAAGUGAAUAAAUAACCCUGAUACAAAAGGACAGAUA